Molecule: ribosomal RNA, 279 nt
Filed under: uncultured bacterium
Lineage: Bacteria
Description: partial 16S ribosomal RNA
Rfam family: Archaeal small subunit ribosomal RNA
Source: RNAcentral
UGCCAGCCGCCGCGGUAAAACCAGCACCUCAAGUGGUCAGGAGGAUUAUUGGGCCUAAAGCAUCCGUAGCCUGUUCUAUAAGUUUGCAGUUAAAUCUAUACGCUUAACGUAUAGGCUGCCGUAAAUACUGUAGAACUAGGGAGUGGGAGAGGUAGACGGUACUCGAUAGGAAGGGGUAAAAUCCUUUGAUCUAUUGAUGACCACCUGUGGCGAAGGCGGUCUACCAGAACACGUUCGACGGUGAGGGAUGAAAGCUGGGGGAGCAAACCGGAUUAGAUA